UUUGCACACUAUUCUCUGGUGGUCUGUGAACUUCAUCUGGAAGUUGGAACAAAGUUUAAACUUGUCGUGAACUUGUAAGAAUACUAACAAUAUUUUUAUACAAGCAGGGGCUCAUCAGCAGCGGGCGUUACAGAGGGGUUCGGUUUGUGGGGGGAGGACAACCCCCCUUCCCGCUCGAGACGCGCGUGCUCGCGCGCUACCAGCGCACGAAGUUCCUCCUGCAACAAUUU
Long non-coding RNA from Maniola jurtina (meadow brown), 230 nucleotides. RefSeq lists it as uncharacterized. NCBI's taxonomy places the organism in Eukaryota, Metazoa, Arthropoda, Insecta, Lepidoptera, Nymphalidae. The record is from RefSeq and is a predicted model, not a curated record. The transcript has 2 exons.